Molecule: long non-coding RNA, 4179 nt
Organism: Globicephala melas (long-finned pilot whale)
Lineage: Eukaryota; Metazoa; Chordata; Mammalia; Artiodactyla; Delphinidae
Source: RefSeq, a predicted model, not a curated record
CACGCGGAGGGCUGGAUUUCCAGGCUAAACCGCAACUUGCGCUGCGCGUUAUUAUUAUUCAUCUGAGGGUGCUGCCGCUGCAACCUUUGCCUCCUGCUCUGCUCUCCGCUCCUUCCCCCCGGCCGCCGCCGCCGCCAGCAGUGCAGUCCCUCCUGCACGCAUGCUCUGGCUCAUCGAAGGGAGAUUCUGAAUUUUUUUUAUCAUGCUCAUGAUCAUCACCAUGACGCUUCUUAUCAUGGUUAUCAUUUCCUCCUGCCAAGGGGAGCGACCACCAGCGCCUUCUCUCCGCCCGCCCCUUCCCCAGCGAAGGCAGCCACUCGGGCUGGGCCCCGGCGGCCGCUCCCUAGAUGCGGACUUCCUUUGCCUCUCCGUAUCCCUCCCUCAUUCUUCUGCCUGUACAUUAUCUUGAUCCCUUUUAUUCCAGUAGAUCUACUGCCUUUCUUUGGAACGCUGCGGACUGCGACCAGUCUCUUAAAAAGAAGAACAGAGAGAAGAAGACCCUGAAUAGACCACCCCCCGGACAAAGCACUUUGGGUUUCGCCAGAAGGGAUGCGCGGGAGCGUUGGCUCGGGAAUACGAGUGAUCUCCCGUGCGGUAGGGGGCCCGCCCGGCGUGCGGACCUCUGAGGCGAGAGGACUGCAGCAGCCGAGUUCCGGAAGGCUGAUUCCCCAGAUCCUGGCCCCGGACCCCGGCAGCUAGCCCCUGCGGCACGCCCGGCCCGGCUGCUCCUGGACUCAGCGAGCGAGGAAAAAGCCUGGAUCCGAAAGGAUGGGGGAGAACAAAGAGCCUUUGGAAGACGUCGCUGUCAUCUCAUUGUCUGUGUGAUCGGGAGAGCUGCGGAGAAAGGCCUCUCUCUCCGUGUUCACAGCGGACCUUGAUUUAAAUGUCCAUACAAUUAAGGCACGCGGUGAAUGCCAAGAAUGGGGCUGGCUGUGCACCGUCGGUCCGGGAGAGCCCUCCGAGGAAGGAGCCACAGAGCCGAGUUGCCCUCCGCAGAGCUCAGCGCUGCGGCUUCAGGCGGGAGGGGUCGCGGGCUCUCGCCGGCUGGGCUGCCCCAACCGGAGCCUUUGGGCUGGGGAGGCGUGUGGCUUGUGACAGACAGGGGCUUAGAGAUGCAAACAGACUCAGAGAGAAACAGAAGCUGAUUCUGUAACAGAAACACAGAUCUGUGCAAGCCCAGAUUGGGGGUGGGGGGAGUGUGGAGCGGGGAGGCAGUUGCUGUGAGCGCAUUGCGGAGUGCUUCCGUGUGCAGAUCUUUCUCUGGGCUCGGGGUGCAUUGUAUGCGGGGCGACACCUUUCUUCGUUGGCUGUGUUUUUGCUCUGUGUUUAGCUUUUGGUUUACCCUUUAAACAAAUAAUCUGGCAUCCAGAAGACCGGCAGACUGUGUCAGGGCUGGGACUGCAGAUAUAUUGGGUUCUGCUGUCGGUUGGGGGGUGGGGGGAGGGCAGCCAGUAGGAAGGGAGGAGGGAGGUGUUUGUCCCUCUUUGCUGUAGCGCUGUGGGCACCUGACAAGCCGAAGGAAGUCAUUGAGAUACAGGGGGAAGGAGCACCAAACUCCUGGACCAUUCACCACAAGCUCCAUCAGAGCUGAAAGUAUGGCCAGGGCUCUCCGGAGAAACUCACUUCCUCCUGGCGGCUGCAAUUGCAGUUUCAGGCAGAGAUCCAGGAGAUGCCGAGGAGGGGAGAGGUGCAGUAACCUACAUGGACCCAAGGGGGUGGAGGCGGUGCGUUCCUUUUUAAAAUCUGAACAGAAGGAAAAACAGAAUGUGCACAGGUGGGGGUCUGAGGAAAGACUGUUUUUGAAAGAGGCCAUUCAGGGAAUGGUAAGGGUUAACCCUCCCUCAUCCUGAAGAACCUGCUACCCAAAUCAGCUUUCCUCCCCAUCGGCAGACCUAGUGCGGCAGCUGGUCCUAGAGAUCCCCCUGCGCUCCACAGUCACAGCCCAACCCCCGACCCUGAGCUGCAGUGGAGAGACCUAAACUCAUUAAUUUCCAGGUGGAGAAAAUGGAGGAGGGGCAGGUCCCUGCAGAGAAAGGAGGCCAAGAACUGGAACUUCCCACCCAGGAAGGCUGCUGCAUCCCUUUCCCUGACCCUGGCAGAGGCCCGUCUUUGCACGACCAAGGCCAUAAGGGAUGCUUACAGUUUUAGUUUGAUUCCUGACAGAGUAAUCAAGGCCUAAAAGAGUCUCAGCUGAAGCUUACUGAGGCGCUCUUUCUUCUCCAAAGCCUCAGUAUAGCCCACUAAAUAAAUUAGUAUUCAUGGAUACCCGGCCUCAUCUCCUCCCAAAUAUUUACUGAGUACCUACUAUGUGCCGAUCAUUGUGUAAUUAUUAUAUCUUGAGUUCUUCCUUUGCCUUCCUAAGGGAGUGUCUGGAGUCAGGUGAGGUUAAGUGUGCUGUGCCCCAUUCCAGACACUCCCAGAACCUUCUCUGAGUCUGGCAGAAAUGUGCCAGGACCUACUCACCCCUGCAGAGAGAAGGAUGCAGUUCACAUCGUGCAAACUGCAGGCGCAGGGCUCUUCUUCACAUCCCAGAAGGCAAGCCUGGCUGGAGGACAGAAGAGAAAGCAGCUUCUCUCACCCCGGAGCCUUAGCCAGGGUUGUCCUAAGAGGGACCCCUUCAAAACAGUCCUCCCUCUAGAUGGUCCCUCCUUGGCCCUCCCCCCCCUUCCUCUGAGCGCUGCUCUUACAGUGCUUUGGGGCCUGACUUAAGCCUCCGAUGACCAACCCUCGACCCCACAGUUGUCCACAUUAAUGAGCCUCAUCUCCGUAAUUGCUUCCCCGUAAUUCCAUCAGACGUGACUGUGCCCUUCGCUGAUGUGCCUGCCGCCAGUACAAUCUCCAGAUGCCUCCCCAAGUAACGCCCCUUUGAGGUGGAAACCUAACACGCUUCUCCCUGAGAGUUUAAACCGCAGGCACCAUGGACGAGGCCUGCCAGGUUCCUGCUGCCGAUGAUUAGGAUGGGAGGGGCGUAUUUUCUUAUUUUAUUACUUAUAUAAACUCUUGUUCCAGAAAGCUCUAAUGUGUGUGGGAGUGUUCUGGGUUUGCCGGGGCUUUUCCAGUGUUCACCAGGUCUCGUCAUGAAAUGUGGUUUUAAGGGGGCUUUAAUGGCUGAAAAUGGCACUGAUGAAUGCACCCCUCUGACCCCUGGGUAAUUUCAAGGGCCCCUUUUGUGUUCACCAGAUAUAGGCAUAAGGUGAAGAUCAGUCCUAGCUUCCUACCUUCUGCUCUAUUAGGGGCCUAUUUCUGCCCAGCGGUAUUUAUGUGAGAAACCUGAUGAUGUCUGCUCUUUCAAGGCAUUUCUUUAACCCUCAACAUCAUCUUCACCCCUACCUCUCUAUCGGAACCCCUCUCAUUACAAGCUGUGGCUUAAAUGAAGGAAAAACGAUACGAAUUUUUAAAUGUAGGACAUGUUUGGGUGCAGUUUGCUGACCGAAUAUGCUAUGAAGACCCCCGUCGGUUCACACACACCACCAUCACUAUGGUCCUCAUGGUGAUGGGAGCUCAUAGGUUUCUCAAGGUGACAGCACCAGCUACUUUAAGAUGGAUUUAGAAAUGUAUCGAAGGAAAACUUGGUAAUAUUCUUCUUUCCCCUGCCAGAGAUGGCCCAGGCCCAGAUCUCUGUCUAAGCGGAAAAGAAACUGAUCCUUUAACAAAGGCAAAGGUAAACUCCUGUAUGGCCUCUACAUUCCUUUCCCCAGCGGGGUGGGGAGGGGGGACAGUUUUUGUGGGCGCAUGAGGAGCCUUAACCCAAGAAAUAAAGAUUGAGGGGGAGGGGUAAUUUCUCAGCGGGCAUAUGCCCAUAUACACAUAUAUACAUAGAUUUUCUUGCACGAUCGUAUCCACUGCUAAUAUUUAUAGGAAGGCAUUUAACCGCACAUACAAAACAUCCAUCCACCUAUACUAUCUCCGCAGGUAAAUAAUUUUCUCUUUCCCGCUACUGAACUUACAUAAUUCCCCCACCCCUUGUUCCAAUCUUAGAAUGGAGUCCUUUGGGGGCAGCUGCAAAGCAUUCUCCCCAGGACAGAUGGAGCCACCCUUCCUCAUCUAGCCUGUGGGUGGGUUUAGGGAGUCAACACAGGCUGAGGGGUGUGCUGGUGGUUUGUGUUUGAGGCUUGCCUGAUUAUUGUCAAUAACAAUUAUGGGAAUUAUAAUACCUAAUAAAGAUGUUUUUUCUUCCAA